This 409-nucleotide ribosomal RNA is filed under the name uncultured Thermovirga sp. Its description in RNAcentral is "bacterial SSU rRNA". It matches the Rfam family "Bacterial small subunit ribosomal RNA", at positions 984 to 1382 of the family's 1533-position model. Lineage: Bacteria; Thermotogati; Synergistota; Synergistia; Synergistales; Thermovirgaceae. The record is from RNAcentral.
ACAUGUACGUGUUACUGAUCUGAGAGGAGAGGGACCCAUGCUUCGGUAUGGGAGCGUACACAGGUGGCUGCAUGGCUGUCGUCAGCUCGUGUCGUGAGAUGCUGGGUAAGUCCCGCAACGAGCGCAACCCCUGCAUCCAGUUGCCAUCGGGCGAGCCGGGCACUCUGGAGGGACUGCCGGCGACAAGCCGGAGGAAGGUGGGGAUGACGUCAAGUCAUCAUGGCCCUUAUGUCCAGGGCGACACACGUGCUACAAUGGCCGGCACAGCGGGAAGCGGAGGGGCGACCCUGAGCGGAUCCCUUGAAAGCCGGUCCCAGUUCGGAUUGCAGUCUGCAACUCGACUGCAUGAAGUUGGAAUCGCUAGUAAUCGCGGAUCAGCCAAGCCGCGGUGAAUACGUUCCCGGGCCUU